UCGGAGUUCAAUGGCUGCAAUGUCAUAAGCCUCAGCAGCCUCUUCUUCGGUGUCUGGCUUAUACAAGAGUAAACGUUGGUAUCAAUAGCACCAUCAUCAGUUUUGGUUCAUAUAAAUUGAAAUGCUAAAGAGACAAAUUUGAAGAUUGCGCACCGAAUGUUCCCAGGUAGAUGUCCUUGGCAUCCUUAAGGUCACCAACCCGACCAAUUCGAGCUUGCCACUUGCCAUCUUUCCGUCUUCUGGUCCGAAAUGCCACCAAAUUGCAACAGAAUCAUUGGUCAGUAGCGGACGCCAUCCUCAGUGUGCUAUAUAAAGAAACAUUCUAUUAUUCAGAAGGUGCAUGAAUGAAAAACCAACC
This 358-nucleotide long non-coding RNA is filed under the name Musa acuminata (dwarf banana). Its description in RNAcentral is "long non-coding RNA (MACU_LNC006287)". The record is from RNAcentral. Lineage: Eukaryota; Viridiplantae; Streptophyta; Magnoliopsida; Zingiberales; Musaceae.